UUUUUCCCCAAAUUCCUACAAUUCUGUAUGUGAGCAUCACGCAGCUGGAGGUAGCUGACUCAGGGCGUUACAGGUGUUCUUUGGACAAACCUGUACAUCUGAAGUCAUAUGAGGAUUUUAAUAUCGUUGUCACGGAAGUGCCAAGUACACCAGCCUCCUCUGAACCCAGCAACCCAGCAGUUUCAGGUUUCCUCUUGGUUGUGGUUGUAUGUGUACCUGUGGUGGUGAUAGUUUUACUACUUUUUGUUCUGCUGCUCAUCUACAAAAAGAAGAGGGAGGACUG
Molecule: long non-coding RNA, 283 nt
Organism: Mugil cephalus (flathead mullet)
Lineage: Eukaryota; Metazoa; Chordata; Actinopteri; Mugiliformes; Mugilidae
Exons: 3
Source: RefSeq, a predicted model, not a curated record